Vicia villosa (hairy vetch) is the source of this 789-nucleotide long non-coding RNA. RefSeq lists it as uncharacterized. The record is from RefSeq and is a predicted model, not a curated record. The transcript has 5 exons. Lineage: Eukaryota; Viridiplantae; Streptophyta; Magnoliopsida; Fabales; Fabaceae.
UUCAAUUUUUCUUUCUCUCUCUCUCUUCUCUUUCAAUUUGCCUGUCUUCUUCCUCUCCCUCAACCUUCCCCUCUUUGUCUCUUUCUUCUUCUUUCUCUCUCCGAAUCUUCUUUCUCUCUCAAAGCGACAUCUUCUAUUUUCUACUUUCUUCCUCUUCAUUUCCCCUUUUCUUCACCAUCUUAUUUGUUUCCCAAAACGAAAUCGACACGAUUAUCAGGUUUUUUUUGGAUUUCUGUUUAAAGUUACUGUUGAUAUUGUGGUUAGUGUUUUUGUGGUUUAUAUGAUGAUUUUGUGGGUUAUAUGAUGAUUUUGUGGUUAGGGUUUUUGUGAUUGUGGUUGAUAUCAUGAUUUUGUGGAUAGGGUUUUGAUGCUGCUAUUGGCCAAAUGGAGGUAACCGGCGAUUAGUAUGGUGGUGGUGGUGGAAACGGGUUUCCGCCGAUGAGUGUGGUGGUGGCCGAAAUCAGAAAGAGAUGAAAGGUUGGAUCAGCUGUUGCAGAACAAUCCAAUGUACAUACAGAACUUCGUCCAUUGCUCGCUUGAUGUGGUUGAUGACUGAGAUUGCAGAAAAACAAAACUUCUUAAUAUUCGAGGAUCGUAAGUUUGCCGACAUUGUUAACACCAUGACCAUGCAGUAUGAAAGCUUUGGCAGCAUGUGAGGAAAAGUUAAAUGAGAUCACAGGCCUUACAAAUGAAACAGGGGAAGCCAUCUUUUGACAUAACAGAGUACUUGGAUUUCAUGUCAACGGGAGGCGUGGUAAUUGACAAAUAAAUAUUUGAUUAAGGUUUCUU